Molecule: long non-coding RNA, 241 nt
Organism: Mus pahari (shrew mouse)
Lineage: Eukaryota; Metazoa; Chordata; Mammalia; Rodentia; Muridae
Exons: 3
Source: RefSeq, a predicted model, not a curated record
UUCCUAGAUCAGCUCCCACCACAGUCAGUCUGGUGGUCUGGGUCCAGGCCAGAGCCAUGACAUACAUCAGAUGCCAAUGACCCCUAAAGGAGUUCUGGGACAGGCCAGCCAGCACUGCUCUAGCACAAACUAGGUAAAAGGUCUUGUGAAUGGUGGCACACACCUGUGAUCCUGGCACUUGGGAGGGUACGGGGAUCAGGAAUUCAAGGUCAGGCCUUGGAUCUUUCUAUGACAAGUGUGA